Molecule: ribosomal RNA, 253 nt
Filed under: uncultured bacterium
Lineage: Bacteria
Description: partial 16S ribosomal RNA
Rfam family: Bacterial small subunit ribosomal RNA
Source: RNAcentral
UACAGGGGGUGCAAGCGUUGUUCGGAAUUACUGGGCGUAAAGCGCGGGCAGGUGGCCUUUUAAGUCCUUUGUGAAAUCCCGGAGCUCAACUCCGGAUGUGCAUAGGAUACUGGAAGGCUUGGGACUGGUAGAGGCGAGCGGAAUUCCUGGUGUAGCGGUGGAAUGCGCAGAUAUCAGGAGGAACACCGGUGGCGAAGGCGGGUCUCUGGGCAGUAACUGACGCUGAGGCGCGACAGCGUGGGGAGCAAACAGG